UAUGUCUGGUAAGUCUAUGACUAUUGUGUUCCGGGUAACCUGGUGACUAUUGACGNCAGCUUCCCCUUGUGGUUGCUCCCGCAAUUCCUUUAAGUCAACUUGCGUCCGUACUUCAGGCGGCAAACUUAACGGCUUCCCUGCGGCACUGAUGGCUAUAACCAAUGCAUCACGAUUGAUCGUUUACAGCUGGGACUACCCGGGUUCUAUCCGGUUUGCUCCCCCAGCUUUUUC
RNAcentral lists this ribosomal RNA (231 nucleotides) under uncultured archaeon. RNAcentral describes it as "partial 16S ribosomal RNA". The record is from RNAcentral.